This is a long non-coding RNA of Triticum dicoccoides, 2192 nucleotides long. RefSeq lists it as uncharacterized. Lineage: Eukaryota; Viridiplantae; Streptophyta; Magnoliopsida; Poales; Poaceae. The record is from RefSeq and is a predicted model, not a curated record. The transcript is spliced from 4 exons.
UCUCUCUCUCUCUCUCUCUCUCUCUCUUCGAUUGGAUUGCCUCUCCUUCACCGGUGGUGUGCUCUUGUCGGCUACAAUGCCGUCCAUACUCUGGACGGGACUGUUGGUUGAGAUUCGUUCUCCUUUCCUGAUCUUGCCGUGUACCCUUAUUUUUGCUAUGCCCUGCUGAUUUCGUGUUCUUCCUUCUGUCCGCGUCGUGCGCAGGUUGAUUAUCUUGCCAUCCUCUCCUGCGUCCACUGUCGCGCCGUUCUGCCUUCGGCGAUUAAUUGAGGAUGGAGCAGCAGGCAUAGAUGAAAUCUACUGCCAAUUUCUAUUGGUUGCGGCAUCUUCCGCUGAGUAACUCUACAAAACAGCCUGCUAGCAUUGAUUCUUGCAAUAAAAAAAUAAGUCUGGCAUCAUUCAUGAAAAGCUUAUAGACUUAGAUAAUUUCUUAAUCCUGCACUGGUUCUCACCAGUGAGAUUGUAGAUGUGGUAUUUUGAGAAUACUAGUGUAAUUCACUGGUCCAAAAGCUCCAUUUCUUAAUGUGUUUUUGCAGAAUGCUACCAGUAAUGUUUUUCUUUUCCUUAAUGUACAAACAUAUCUGUUAGAUAUGAUUUUGGAUCUGAACUUUUCCCUGUCUGCAGCUCACAUUGUGGUAUGGUCAUGGUACAGCAAAAGGAAAAGAUGUUUAAACUUUUUUUGGGCGUCAUACAUGAAAAGUACCUUUAUUUCCAUCGAGCUUAAUUACUAAGAAAAUGUUACCACUAUGUCCUUACUAAUAAACCUAAAUGUUCUGAAAGUUCGGUCUCUUGCUCUCUUUGCUUAUGAAUCGGACACUUUCCCUUUCUUUAGUCCUUACACGGUUCCACCUCGCUUUGACUUCAUACUUUGAUGGUGUUUGUAGGUAUGAAGAGUGGUCAUAAUGUUACUUAAAGGAGGCCUCAACUUGCACCAAAUACAUGGGCAUGUGCAACAGCAACUUAUGUAGGUGAGUAGGUAUUUAUGCUUAGUUUUGACUUGAGUACAAAAAAGAGCUUGCUGACAUAUACAAGAGAAUAGGCUACCCAUUCUUGAAUUGAAUCAGAUUGGUAGACUAAACCACGGCGGUGUACUCUUUGCUGCUGAGUUAUUACAAUCCAACUGAAAAUAAGGGGAAAACAAACAUGAUCUUGCCAUUUAAAUUAUCUCAUAUUUGUGGAGAAAAGUUGCAUAGUUAGCUAUUGCAAAAUACUGUCGACCCAGUUUUUGUUCAAUAGACGUCCCUUCUUUGAAUGUAGCUUGAACCUGCGCAAGGGCAUGGUAGCAUGCUCAUUCUAUUUUUUUUACUAAGGUGGUUACACUUUCCUACUUUUUUCUGAAAGAGAGUCAAUUUAGUCAUGAGCUAUAGCGGCGUUUCUGUUUACUGAAUUUCGUUUUGCAGUUCCCUUCUCUUGAAUGUUUAUUCAAAUGUGCCUAAUGUUUCUUUUAGGUUUCUAAAAUCUAAUAAAUGCUGCUCUCAAAUCAGUUAGGAGGCUGAAGGUAGUAGCUUACUGAACUCUCAUUUCCGGAAAAAUCUGGAGAUGUCUUGAAUUAUGAGUGGGUUGACUUUUCUUGACGUGUAUUUUAUACAACGAGCAACUACCUUGUGCCGUCUUCCAGCCACCAACAACCCCAUGACCCUGCAUCAGGACAAAUUUGAUUUUGGGAAGACAAAGGUCUGAUAAGGAUGAUAAUGGGAUACCAGAUUACAACGACGGAGGCUCGGACAUGGAUCUGCUCAUGCUCUCAGCGGGAAUACUGGAUGUUCUCGAAGCUUUUCCAUACACACGUGCUACUUUUGGCACUUGCGUGGGCUCCAGUUUGUGUCAAUGCAAUUUGCAUCUGUCAGCGGAUUAUGGCGAGCUUGGUUAUUGGCCUACAGGAAUGUUUGUGUAUGGAUGUCACAAAAUUGUUAUGCAGAAAAUAAGAGUGUAGUACAUUUCAGAGAUACAAGUAUCUUGUUCAGUUUAGUCAGAGCACAUGCAAACAAGUAGUUCCCUAGGGUGGAGGCCUUCCACUUGCUUUUGCUAGCUAUAUGAAAUAGACUGAACCUGAACCUAACUACGAUUGGAUGUCUAAGCUGAAUUGUUGCAUCCUUAGACAUGGAAUUAUGGAUCAAUUUUAGCUCUCAAGAACUGCAUACUUAUGGUCCUAUGUAAUCCCAAUUUAUUCAGGCAAGCAUCCCAAAAGUUCA